This 206-nucleotide long non-coding RNA is filed under the name Panax ginseng (ginseng). RNAcentral's name for it is "long non-coding RNA (PGIN_LNC015619)". The record is from RNAcentral. Lineage: Eukaryota; Viridiplantae; Streptophyta; Magnoliopsida; Apiales; Araliaceae.
CUAGCUAGGGUACUACUUAAUUUGAUCUAAAGUUUUAUACAUGAUUAUUCAUCUAGAUAAUUAUUAAUUUACUGGAUAAAUUUUGUUGAACUAGCUCCUAGCAAAAAUUGGCUUUAAAAUCAAGACCCAAAAAUAAAUUAUUGAAGAAAAAUAAUAUAAUCGAGUUAUUUCAAUAAUAAUGAAUAUUAUGAUAAGUAUCUCGAUAA